CCCUAGUAUUUGAUUAUUUAAUAAGGAAGGAAUAUGAUAAGAAAAUUAAAAAUUUUGGCGGUUAAUUUGGAAUUAGAGGAGCUUGUUUGAAGUGAGAAUUUGCUCUUUAUAUUUUAUUAAAAUUUUGUUUAUUCAUCUCCGUUAUUAGAGAAUUGUUACUAUGAAAAUAGCUUUUUAGUAGCUAUUAUAUCAGGUCAAGAUGUAGCCUAAAUUAAUUAAAAUUAGCUACAGUUUUGAAUAAUUGGAUUUAUAGAGGAGAACUUAAGUAUAAUGAAAUUGAAUCUGAUUGUAAUAGUGUUUAGAAAAAUAUUAUGAAUAUGAAUAAUUGAUGUA
RNAcentral lists this ribosomal RNA (333 nucleotides) under Trichominua sp. RPDR-2013. RNAcentral's name for it is "partial 12S ribosomal RNA". Lineage: Eukaryota; Metazoa; Arthropoda; Arachnida; Opiliones; Gonyleptidae. The record is from RNAcentral.